Molecule: ribosomal RNA, 460 nt
Filed under: uncultured bacterium
Lineage: Bacteria
Description: partial 16S ribosomal RNA
Rfam family: Bacterial small subunit ribosomal RNA
Source: RNAcentral
CCUACGUGGGGCAGCAGUGAGGAAUAUUGGUCAAUGGACGCAAGUCUGAACCAGCCAUGCCGCGUGCAGGAAGACGGCUCUAUGAGUUGUAAACUGCUUUUGUACGAGGGUAAACGCAGAUACGCGUAUCUAUCUGAAAGUAUCUUACGAAUAAGGAUCGGCUAACUCCGUGCCAGCAGCCGCGGUAAUACGGAGGAUUCAAGCGUUAUCCGGAUUUAUUGGGUUUAAAGGGUGCGUAGGCGGUCGGAUAAGUUAGAGGUGAAAUCCAGAGGCUCAACUGCGGCAUUGCCUCUGAUACUGUUGGGCUAGAGAGUAGUUGCGGUAGGCGGAAUGUAUGGUGUAGCGGUGAAAUGCUUAGAGAUCAUACAGAACACCGAUUGCGAAGGCAGCUUACCAAGCUACUUCUGACGUUGAGGCACGAAAGCGUGGGGAGCAAACAGGAUUAGAUACCCUUGUAGUC